Molecule: long non-coding RNA, 1556 nt
Organism: Homo sapiens (human)
Lineage: Eukaryota; Metazoa; Chordata; Mammalia; Primates; Hominidae
Exons: 2
Source: RefSeq, a predicted model, not a curated record
AGCUAGACUCUGUCUCAAAAAAAUGUAUAUAUAUAGUAAUGGCCAAAUAGUAUUCCUGUAGCAAUAAAGCAGUAACUUUAAUGAAUAAUUAAAUAAAAGCAAUAAAAGAUAACUGUAGCAAUAAAUAACUUUAUUUAAUGAUAAAAUUGAUGAAUACUCAGGUUAUUUUCAAUUUUUACAAUACUGUCCAUCUUAGGUUACAUUUGUAAGUAUAUAUUUAGGAUAAAUUCCUAGUAGUGCAUCAAAGGACAUUUAAAAUUUUAAAAUAUGUUGCCAAGUUGUACUCCAAAAAUUUUGCACCAAUUUAAAUUCCCACCAACAGUAUACAAAUGUGUUUAUUUUAAUCUUUUCUUUCCAACCCCACAUAUAGCAGAACUUUCUAGUGUUUCCCUUUUUGAUGAAAUGUCUCUUUGCUGUUUUGAUUGCAUUUAAGUAUUUUCAGUCAGGUUGAGAAUCUUUUCAUAUAUUUCAGGUCAUUUGUUGUAUUAGUCAGGGUUCCCUAGACAGACAGAACUAAUGGGACAGACGUAUAUAAAAAGGGGACUUUAUUAAGGACUAUUGGCUCAUAUGAUCACAUUGUGAAGUCCCACAAUGGGCUGUGUGCAAGCUGAGGGGCAAGGAAGCCAGUCGGAGUCCCAAAACCUCAAAAGCAGGGAAGCCAACAGUGUAACCUUCAGUCUGUGGCCUGAGGCCUGAGAGCUCCAAGCAAGUCACUGAUGUAAGUCCAAGAGUCCAAAAGCUGAAGAACUUGGAGUCUGAUGUUUGAGGACAGGAAGCAUCCAGCAUGGAAGAAAAAUGAAGGCCAGAAGACUCAGCAAGUCUGCUCAUUCCACAUUCCUCUGCCUGCUUUAUCCUAGCCGCGCUGGCAGCUGAUUAGAUGAUGCCCACCCAGAUUGAAGGUGGGUCUGCCUCUCCCAAUCCACUGAUUCAAAUAUUAAUCUCCUUUGGCAACACCCUCACAGACACAUCCAGGAACAAUACUUUGUCUCCUUCAAUCAAGUUAACACUCAAUAUUAAUCAUCACAUUUGUAUUUUAUCUUUUUCUGAGAACUACCUGUUUAUAUUACUUGCAUGUAGUUAUUGUUUUCUUUUCUUUUCUUUUUUUUAAUUUGGUAAAACUUUUUGAAAAUUAAGUAGCCAUUUAUCUGUCACAUUUAUUUUGAACAACCAAUGUAGUAUUUGUCCUUAGACUUUGGCUAUGGAUUUUUUUAUUUUUUAUUUUUUUGCCAUAUAAAUGUUUUAAAUUUUAAGUUCUUAAAAUUUCCUUUUUGGCUUCUGGGUGUGCUGUGUAUUGAAUGUAUUUUCUUGGCUGCUUUUGUUUACCUAUUAACAGGAGGACCUUUCAGUCACCUUUGUAUUCCCAGUGCUUAGCAGAGGGACCUGCCCAUAGACCACUGGAUACCAAUGGAAUGAGGAGAUGAAGAAUUUGGCGAAGGAAGUGAACAGCUUAUAGGAGAAGAAGGAGAGAAUAGGGAAAGCUCUUCUAGAUACCAAAACAAGCAAGAAGAGUUGGGCUGGAUUUUAAUUCAAAAUAAAGUCUGAACUUUUCUUCCCCA